This 492-nucleotide ribosomal RNA is filed under the name uncultured bacterium. RNAcentral describes it as "partial 16S ribosomal RNA". It matches the Rfam family "Bacterial small subunit ribosomal RNA", at positions 29 to 507 of the family's 1533-position model. The record is from RNAcentral.
AGUGAACGCUGGCGGUAGGCCUAACACAUGCAAGUCGAACGGCAGCACAGUAAGAGCUUGCUCUUACGGGUGGCGAGUGGCGGACGGGUGAGGAAUACAUCGGAAUCUACUUUUUCGUGGGGGAUAACGUAGGGAAACUUACGCUAAUACCGCAUACGACCUACGGGUGAAAGCAGGGGAUCUUCGGACCUUGCGCGAUUGAAUGAGCCGAUGUCGGAUUAGCUAGUUGGCGGGGUAAAGGCCCACCAAGGCGACGAUCCGUAGCUGGUCUGAGAGGAUGAUCAGCCACACUGGAACUGAGACAGGGUCCAGACUCUUACGGGGGGCAGCGGUGGGGAAUAUUGGACAAGGGGCGCAAGCCGGAUCCAGCCAUACCGCGGGGGUGAAGAAGGCCUUCGGGUGGUAAAGCCCUUUUGUUGGGAAAGAAAAGCAGCAGGUUAAUACCCCGAUGUUCUGACGGUACCCAAAGAAUAAGCACCGGCUAACUUCGUG